RNAcentral lists this long non-coding RNA (1529 nucleotides) under Marmota monax (woodchuck). Lineage: Eukaryota; Metazoa; Chordata; Mammalia; Rodentia; Sciuridae. The record is from RNAcentral.
GUUAUGUCAUUUGCAGGAAAAUGGAUGGAACUUGAGAGCAUUGUGUUAAAUGAAAUAUGUCAAACUCAGAAAGUCAAGGGUCAUAUGUAGAUGCAAGAGAAGAGAAAGGACCAAAAAUAAAAUAAAAUAAUAAAAUAAAAGGCAGACCAGUAGAGUAGAGAAGAGGGACCAGGGAGAGGGAGGAAAGAAAGGAAAGAGAAAAUUCUGGGGAAUGAUUAAUUUAAUUAUAUUGUUGACAUCAUAUGCAUGUACAAAUUUGUAACAAUGGAUCCCACAUUAUAUAUAAUGAUAAUGCACCAAUAAAGAUGUGGAAUAAAAAAGAGUCUUUGUUGGGGGCUCAAACUGGGGCACCUCCCUCAGUUUGAGGUUUCCAUAGGUGUCCUUGGGGAGUAGAUUGAGGACAAAGAGCAAGUCCCUAGCUUUUCUUGCUACCUUAUAUCGAGGCUUCUGGCUGCUGUUACACUAAAAAUGUGCAGUAAAUAGUGAGACAGAACCAAAUUCCCUUCAUUCUCUACACAUAUGACUAGGUGGUCUUGAGGGCAGGUGACUCACAGCUUAUGCACAGUUUUCAGCGUAACAGCUGUGUUUGCUAUCAUUCUUUUGUCACUUGGCAGUUUUGUCUCUGCACUGAACUGCUGCUGCUGCAUUUGGAGGCAGAUGCUGAACUGAACACAUUCCAAGAGAUAGAAGAACAGAGAAUGAGAGAAUGAGUAUAUAUUGGGCAUCUCAUCUGGAACAAGUAUUGUAUUAAGGAAAUUACUGUGUUCUUUCUUUGGGUCUUUACCAAAUCUUACAAGUAAAUAUGUUCAUGCCAAUUUUGAGGAUGAUGAAUUAGAGGCAUAGAGAGAUGCUCUAAUCUGCUGAGGAUCACACCCAGUAGUGGAAGUCUGGUCUAGAACCUUGGAAGCUAUGUAACGCCAGGCUAAGGUGAAGGCACCACCGAGCAGGGCUGUUCCAUGCUCCUUUCUGGAGUAGGGAGGAAGGAGGGGGGAUGGAAAUUUCCUUUGAAGCUUAGCCAGGGUACAGGGGUGGCAGGAUACUUCUGCCUGUUGUCUUGGCUAGCACGACUGUAAGGCUGAGAAGACCACACACUCAGCUCCACCCUGAUCAGUGAGGAGAGGGUCUUCACUGUGGGAAUGCAGCAGAGAGCCCAGGAAUGAGGUGGCAGGGGUACUCCAAGGCUGGCCCCCAUAUCAGCAGCAUUGACAUCAGCUUGAGAUGGUUAGAACAGAAUCUCUGGAAAUGGGACACAGGAGACUGAACAUAAUUGCUACAGGAUUGAUCAAGGAAGAGGAAGGAGUGAGGAAGCUUGGAUGUGGAGUGUGAGGGUGGUAAGUGGAUGAGAACUCUGAGCUAGUCUGCAGUAUGUGAGAUGGAGCUUUGCUGCAAAGAAAAGAAAGGAAGGCACUGGGGUCAUGAGAAUAGUUGUAGAGUGGGAAAUGGCUAUAGUCAAGAGACCACAUUUGAAUCUUGUCUUAGCAACUCCUGGCUCAGUGAUCUUCAGCAAUCUCUUCAUCUUCCUGGACCUU